This 402-nucleotide ribosomal RNA is filed under the name uncultured bacterium. RNAcentral describes it as "bacterial SSU rRNA". It matches the Rfam family "Bacterial small subunit ribosomal RNA", at positions 357 to 776 of the family's 1533-position model. The record is from RNAcentral.
GGGAAUAUUGCACAAUGGGGGAAACCCUGAUGCAGCGACGCCGCGUGAGUGAGGAAGUAUUUCGGUAUGUAAAGCUCUAUCAGCAGGGAAGAAAAUGACGGUACCUGACUAAGAAGCCCCGGCUAACUACGUGCCAGCAGCCGCGGUAAUACGUAGGGGGCAAGCGUUAUCCGGAUUUACUGGGUGUAAAGGGAGCGUAGACGGAAUUGCAAGUCUGAUGUGAAAAUCCGGGGCCCAACCCCGGGACUGCUCUUGGAACUGCGCGGCUGGAGUGCAGGAGGGGCAGGCGGAAUUCCUGGUGUAGCGGUGAAAUGCGUAGAUAUCAGGAGGAACACCGGUGGCGAAGGCGGCCUGCUGGACUGCGACUGACGUUGAGGCCCGAAAGCGUGGGGAGCAAACAGG